AGCUUUGCGCAGUGGUAGUAUCGUAGCCAGUGAGGUUUAUCGGAGGCAUGAUUAUUGCUAAUUGAAAACUUUUCCCAUACCU
RNAcentral lists this small nuclear RNA (82 nucleotides) under Dasypus novemcinctus (nine-banded armadillo). Its description in RNAcentral is "U4 spliceosomal RNA (ENSDNOG00000028204.2)". It matches the Rfam family "U4 spliceosomal RNA", at positions 1 to 82 of the family's 138-position model. From Rfam's summary of the family: U4 small nuclear RNA (U4 snRNA) is a component of the major U2-dependent spliceosome. The structure of U4 snRNA from yeast and human has been reported. The record is from RNAcentral. Lineage: Eukaryota; Metazoa; Chordata; Mammalia; Cingulata; Dasypodidae.